GACCCGCACGAAAGGCGUAACGAUUUGGGCACUGUCUCAACAACAGACUCGGUGAAAUUGUAAUUCCGGGGAAGAUGCCGGAUACCUGCGACAGGACGGAAAGACCCCAUGGAGCUUUACUGUAGCUUGACAUUGGGUUUUGGUACUACAUGUACAGGAUAGGUGGGAGGCUUUGAAACCAGGACGCCAGUUUUGGCGGAGCCAUCCU
This 208-nucleotide ribosomal RNA is filed under the name Clostridioides difficile. RNAcentral's name for it is "partial 23S ribosomal RNA". It matches the Rfam family "Bacterial large subunit ribosomal RNA", at positions 1985 to 2192 of the family's 2925-position model. Lineage: Bacteria; Bacillati; Bacillota; Clostridia; Peptostreptococcales; Peptostreptococcaceae. The record is from RNAcentral.